GAAUAUUGGACAAUGGGCGCAAGCCUGAUCCAGCCAUGCCGCGUGCAGGAUGACGGUCCUAUGGAUUGUAAACUGCUUUUGUACAGGAAGAAACCCUUUCACGUGUGGAAGAUUGACGGUACUGUAAGACUAAGGAUCGGCUAACUCCGUGCCAGCAGCCGCGGUAAUACGGAGGAUCCAAGCGUUAUCCGGAAUCAUUGGGUUUAAAGGGUCCGUAGGCGGUCUGGUAAGACAGUGGUGAAAGCCCAUCGCUCAACGGUGGAACGGCCAUUGAUACUGCCAGACUUGAAUUUCCAGGAAGCAACUAGAAUAUGUAGUGUAGCGGUGAAAUGCUUAGAUAUUACGUGGAAUACCAAUUGCGAAGGCAGGUUGCUACUGGUGGAUUGACGCUGAUGGACGAAAGCGUGGGUAGCGAACAGG
This 420-nucleotide ribosomal RNA is filed under the name uncultured bacterium. RNAcentral describes it as "bacterial SSU rRNA". It matches the Rfam family "Bacterial small subunit ribosomal RNA", at positions 359 to 776 of the family's 1533-position model. The record is from RNAcentral.